GCUAAUGUAGCUCAGUUGGUAGAGCAGCUGAUUCGUAAUCAGCAGGUCAAGGGUUCGAGUCCCUUCAUUAGCU
RNAcentral lists this transfer RNA (73 nucleotides) under Caldanaerobius fijiensis DSM 17918. It matches the Rfam family "tRNA". Rfam says of the family: Transfer RNA (tRNA) molecules are approximately 80 nucleotides in length. Their secondary structure includes four short double-helical elements and three loops (D, anti-codon, and T loops). Lineage: Bacteria; Bacillati; Bacillota; Clostridia; Thermoanaerobacterales; Thermoanaerobacteraceae. The record is from Rfam by way of RNAcentral.